AUACGUAGGGGGCGAGCGUUGUCCGGAAUGAUUGGGCGUAAAGGGCGCGUAGGCGGCCUUGCAAGUCAGUAGUAGAAGUCCAUUUUUCAAGGAUGGAAGUGCUACAGAAACUGCGGAGCUUGAGUGCAGGAGAGGUUAUCGGAAUUCCCGGUGUAGCGGUGAAAUGCGUAGAGAUCGGGAGGAACACCAGUGGCGAAGGCGGGUAACUGGACUGCAACUGACGCUGAGGCGCGAAAGUGUGGGGAGCAAACAGGAUUAGAUACCCUGGUAGUCCACACUGUAAACGAUGAAUGCUAGGUGUAGGAGGUAUCGACCCCUUCUGUGCCGCAGUAAACACAGUAAGCAUUCCGCCUGGGGAGUACGGUCGCAAGAUUAAAACUCAAAUGAAUUGACGGGG
Molecule: ribosomal RNA, 397 nt
Filed under: uncultured bacterium
Lineage: Bacteria
Description: partial 16S ribosomal RNA
Rfam family: Bacterial small subunit ribosomal RNA
Source: RNAcentral